Molecule: ribosomal RNA, 1296 nt
Filed under: metagenome
Description: bacterial LSU rRNA
Rfam family: Bacterial large subunit ribosomal RNA
Source: RNAcentral
ACAACGACCGUACCGCAAACCGACACUGGUGCGCGAGAUGAGUAUUCUAAGGCGCUUGAGAGAACUCAGGAGAAGGAACUCGGCAAAUUGACACCGUAACUUCGGAAGAAGGUGUGCCCUAUUAGUGUGAAGUGAACAACGGAGCAUGAAUGGGUUGCAAAAAAUCGGUGGCUGCGACUGUUUAUUAAAAACACAGCACUCUGCAAACACGAAAGUGGACGUAUAGGGUGUGACGCCUGCCCGGUGCUGGAAGAUUAAAUGAUGGGGUGCAAGCUCUUGAUUGAAGUCCCAGUAAACGGCGGCCGUAACUAUAACGGUCCUAAGGUAGCGAAAUUCCUUGUCGGGUAAGUUCCGACCUGCACGAAUGGCGUAACGAUGGCCACACUGUCUCCUCCUGAGACUCAGCGAAGUUGAAAUGUUUGUGAUGAUGCAAUCUCCCCGCGGAAAGACGGAAAGACCCCAUGAACCUUUACCGUAGCUUUGUAUUGGACUUUGAACAGAUCUGUGUGGGAUAGGUGGGAGGCUUUGAAGCAGGGUCGCUAGAUCUUGUGGAGCCAACGUUGAAAUACCACCCUGGUGUGUUUGAGGUUCUAACCUAGGUCCAUUAUCUGGAUCGGGGACAGUGCAUGGUAGGCAGUUUGACUGGGGCGGUCUCCUCCCAAAGCGUAACGGAGGAGUUCGAAGGUACGCUAGUUACGGUCGGACAUCGUGACGAUAGUGCAAUGGCAUAAGCGUGCUUAACUGCGAGACUGACAAGUCGAGCAGAUGCGAAAGCAGGACAUAGUGAUCCGGUGGUUCUGUAUGGAAGGGCCAUCGCUCAACGGAUAAAAGGUACUCUGGGGAUAACAGGCUGAUACCGCCCAAGAGUUCAUAUCGACGGCGGUGUUUGGCACCUCGAUGUCGGCUCAUCUCAUCCUGGGGCUGUAGCCGGUCCCAAGGGUAUGGCUGUUCGCCAUUUAAAGAGGUACGUGAGCUGGGUUUAAAACGUCGUGAGACAGUUUGGUCCCUAUCUUCCGUGGGCGCUGCAGAUUUGAGGAAGCCUGCUCCUAGUACGAGAGGACCGGAGUGGACACACCUCUGGUGUAUCGGUUGUCACGCCAGUGGCAUUGCCGAGUAGCUAAGUGUGGAAGAGAUAACCGCUGAAAGCAUCUAAGCGGGAAACUCGUUUCAAGAUGAGAUCUGCCGGGGCCUUGAGCCCCCUGAAGAGUCGUUCAAGACCAGGACGUUGAUAGGUCAGGUGUGGAAGCGCAGUAAUGCGUUAAGCUAACUGAUACUAAUUGCUCGUGCGGCUUGACC